GCCGGUGUAGCUCAGUGGUAGAGCGGACGUUUCAUAAGCGUUAGGUCGCAGGUUCAAUUCCUGCCACCGGCACCA
RNAcentral lists this transfer RNA (75 nucleotides) under Candidatus Wolfebacteria bacterium CG18_big_fil_WC_8_21_14_2_50_39_7. RNAcentral's name for it is "tRNA-Met". It matches the Rfam family "tRNA". Rfam says of the family: Transfer RNA (tRNA) molecules are approximately 80 nucleotides in length. Their secondary structure includes four short double-helical elements and three loops (D, anti-codon, and T loops). Further hydrogen bonds mediate the characteristic L-shaped molecular structure. tRNAs have two regions of fundamental functional importance: the anti-codon, which is responsible for specific mRNA codon recognition, and the 3' end, to which the tRNAs corresponding amino acid is attached (by aminoacyl-tRNA synthetases). tRNAs cope with the degeneracy of the genetic code in two manners: having more than one tRNA (with a specific anti-codon) for a particular amino acid; and 'wobble' base-pairing, i.e. permitting non-standard base-pairing at the 3rd anti-codon position. RNAcentral also lists the same sequence under 1 other name. Lineage: Bacteria; Candidatus Wolfeibacteriota. The record is from RNAcentral.